UUUUAGGACCAAUCAAUAAAACAGUCCUUUUUAAAAGAUGCCAUUCUCCUUCAAGUACUCCACAAAUUCAUCUAUAAGAUAGGGCCACGCACCUUCCGCGUCGUAGUUCGACAGUGCAGGGUCUAUCGUCUGCACGACA
Hibiscus syriacus is the source of this 139-nucleotide long non-coding RNA. RefSeq lists it as uncharacterized. The record is from RefSeq and is a predicted model, not a curated record. The transcript has 3 exons. NCBI's taxonomy places the organism in Eukaryota, Viridiplantae, Streptophyta, Magnoliopsida, Malvales, Malvaceae.